RNAcentral lists this ribosomal RNA (424 nucleotides) under uncultured bacterium. RNAcentral describes it as "bacterial SSU rRNA". It matches the Rfam family "Bacterial small subunit ribosomal RNA", at positions 355 to 772 of the family's 1533-position model. The record is from RNAcentral.
UGGGGAAUUGUUCACAAUGGGCGCAAGCCUGAUGACGCAAUGCCGCGUGGAGGAUGAAGGUCUUCGGAUUGUAAACUCCUGUUGCCAGGGACGAAUGGCUCCGACCUAAUACGUCGGAGAAUGACGGUACCUGGUGAGGAAGCCCCGGCUAACUCUGUGCCAGCAGCCGCGGUAAUACAGAGGGGGCAAGCGUUGUUCGGAAUUACUGGGCGUAAAGGGCGCGUAGGCGGCCCGCUAAGUCGAACGUGAAAUCCCCAGGCUCAACCUGGGAACUGCGUCCGAUACUGGCAGGCUUGAAUCCGGGAGAGGGAUGUGGAAUUCCUGGUGUAGCGGUGAAAUGCGCAGAUAUCAGGAGGAACACCAGCGGCGAAGGCGGCGCUCUGGGCCGGUACUGACACUGAGGAGCGAAAGCGUGGGUAGCAAA